GAUGAACGCUAGCGACAGGCCUAACACAUGCAAGUCGAGGGGCAGCAUGAAAUUAGCUUGCUAAUUUUGAUGGCGACCGGCGCACGGGUGAGUAACACGUAUGCAACCUGCCUGUAAGCGGGGGAUAACCCGGAGAAAUCCGGACUAAUACCGCAUAGUAUCACAAUUUCGCAUGUUAUUGUGAUUAAAGAUUAAUUGCUUACAGAUGGGCAUGCGUCUGAUUAGCUAGUUGGCGGGGUAACGGCCCACCAAGGCAACGAUCAGUAGGGGUUCUGAGAGGAAGGUCCCCCANAUUGGAACUGAGACACGGUCCAAACUCCUACGGGAGGCAGCAGUGUGGAACUAUUGGUCAAUGGACGAGAGUCUGAACCAGCCAUGUCGCGUGAAGGAUGACUGUCCU
This 400-nucleotide ribosomal RNA is filed under the name uncultured bacterium. RNAcentral's name for it is "bacterial SSU rRNA". It matches the Rfam family "Bacterial small subunit ribosomal RNA", at positions 28 to 418 of the family's 1533-position model. The record is from RNAcentral.